UUGGAGGGCAAGUCUGGUGCCAGCAGCCGCGGUAAUUCCAGCUCCAAUAGCGUAUAUUAAGGUUGUUGCAGUUAAAAAGCUCGUAGUUGAAUUUCGGGAUCAGAGUGUCGGUCGUGCCUCGGUACGUACUGGUAUUAUUGGUUCCUACCUUCUGAAGAACCGCGAUGUCAUUAAUUUGGUGUCGUGGGGAAUCAGGACUGUUACUUUGAAAAAAUUAGAGUGUUUAAAGCAGGCUUACGCUUGAAUACAUUAGCAUGGAAUAAUGAAAUAGGACGUUUGAUUCUAUUUUGUUGGUUUCUAGGAUUGACGUAAUGAUUAAUAGGGAUAGUUGGGGGCAUUAGUAUUCAAUUGUCAGAGGUGAAAUUCUUGGAUUUAUUGAAGACUAACUACUGCGAAAGCAUUUGCCAAGGAUGUUUUCAUUAAUCAAGAACGAAAGUUAGGGGAUCGAAGACGAUCAGAUACCGUCGUAGUCUUAACCAUAAACUAUGCCGACUAGGGAUCGGAUGAUGUUAAUUUUUUAAUGACUCAUUCGGCGCCUUACGGGAAAC
Molecule: ribosomal RNA, 548 nt
Filed under: uncultured Glomeromycotina
Lineage: Eukaryota; Fungi; Glomeromycota
Description: SSU rRNA
Rfam family: Eukaryotic small subunit ribosomal RNA
Source: RNAcentral